UUACAGAUGAAGAAGAUGAGACUCAGAGCAAUACAUAAGUUGCCCAAGGUCAGAGAGCAAUGACCAUAUCAGAGCACAGUGUACUCCUCUUGCCGUAUUCAGAGGAUUUGCCUAUGGGCAGCAACAUUAUUCUCUCGUUCUCUGGAUAUUAGGAACAAUAUCACAGGACCGGCGGACAGCCCCAGUCAUAUCUGACCAUAUCACAGCACGGUGUACUCCUCUUGCCGUAUUCAGAG
Callithrix jacchus (white-tufted-ear marmoset) is the source of this 236-nucleotide non-coding RNA. Lineage: Eukaryota; Metazoa; Chordata; Mammalia; Primates; Cebidae. The record is from RefSeq and is a predicted model, not a curated record.